GUCUACGCACGACACAGAAACAAACUGGAAACAAGUUCCACACAAAUCGCACCAAAGCUGUCGAUUUUGCCACGGAGUUUUGCGCCUAUAUAUACCCCAAUAUUUUCUCUGCAUAUUGACCCUAAAAUUCCCAAUUUUUGCGCCGCCAAGCUGCGCAAAUUUCUCGCCGGAGUUUCGAUCUGCCGCCGCCAUUGGAGAGCGCUAGGCUGCCCGGGAUUGUUCGCCGGAGUUUAUCGCCGCCAAAACACCUCCAUCCGGCCGUCACCAUUGUUUUGCAAGGAGAAACACCUCGCAGUGACCGUCUACAAGCUCGGUUUCGUCUUCCGCAACUCGUCGUCAAGUUCACGCAGUCGAAGAACCGCCGAAACGCCGACGACCGCCACCAUCUGCAUCCCCGUCGUCAACUGUUCCUGAUUGCCCGGAUUGCAACGAGUGCGAUUGCGACGACUGUCUGAACACCGACCAAGGCAAGUGUCACAAACUCAUUAUCCUACUGUUUUCUAUGCAUUGGUAGUUGUUUUAUGUGCAUAAUGAUUUCAAAUUGCUAGCCCUGGGUUAUUAUCAAAGUGGAGAGAUUGCGAGAGAUAAAUGUUUUAUUUUUCUUAAUGAAAACAACAAUGUCAAAUUAAUACACCCCUGGGUGGAAGUGAUAAUGCUUGGUUUAUGUUGAGUGGUUGCACCGGGGUCAUUUCUAUGGUAGCACCGUGUGCAUCACACUUGAGAUUGGCCACCCAGAAACAAAGAGAUUAGCCCAGUUUUUCUGUUUUAGUAGCUUCCAGUACAACCACAUGCUAUAUGGGCUCUGGCUAGAUUGAGUAGGUUGCUAGAACUCGACCCAAUGUACAGAGGGUGGUAGGUGUUGGUAGGACGGAGCGCGUCCACUGUGGUUGAGGUAUUGCUUCUGAAAGGUCUUGUCCUAGUCGACAUCUGUCCAUUUGAGCAAAAUGCGCAUCAUGGAAGAAGAACAGACUAGAUCAUGUGGGGAAUGUGUACAGCCUCUCGAG
Molecule: long non-coding RNA, 1004 nt
Organism: Lolium perenne
Lineage: Eukaryota; Viridiplantae; Streptophyta; Magnoliopsida; Poales; Poaceae
Source: RefSeq, a predicted model, not a curated record